This 274-nucleotide ribosomal RNA is filed under the name uncultured bacterium. RNAcentral's name for it is "partial 16S ribosomal RNA". It matches the Rfam family "Bacterial small subunit ribosomal RNA", at positions 523 to 796 of the family's 1533-position model. The record is from RNAcentral.
AUACGGAGGGUGCAAGCGUUACUCGGAAUCACUGGGCGUAAAGCGCGCGCAGGCGGGCUGAUAAGUUGGAUGUGAAAGCCUACGGCUCAACCGUAGAACUGCAUCCAAAACUGUCAGUCUAGAGUCUGGGAGGGGAAGAUGGAAUUAGUUGUGUAGGGGUAAAAUCCGUAGAGAUAACUAGGAAUACCAAAAGCGAAGGCGAUCCUCUGGAACAGUACUGACGCUGAGGCGCGAAAGCGUGGGGAGCAAACAGGAUUAGAAACCCCAGUAGUCC